Orcinus orca (killer whale) is the source of this 1151-nucleotide long non-coding RNA. RefSeq lists it as uncharacterized. Lineage: Eukaryota; Metazoa; Chordata; Mammalia; Artiodactyla; Delphinidae. The record is from RefSeq and is a predicted model, not a curated record. The transcript has 2 exons.
GAGAAAAGUGGGGCUCAGAAAGGUUAAGUAAUUUGCCAAGCUACAGGUUGAAGGGCCUGGAUUCAAAGCUAGGUUUGUGUGGGCUCAAAGCUCAUGCCAGGCUUCCUCCUCAAGUCACAAGAGAGGAAAAGGUGGUUCUUUGUGUGUGUUCUGAGCUCUGGAUGUGGAAAACAGGCAGAAAAAUGGACCUGCAAACCAGGAGUGGUCCCAAGGGCUGGUUCACUGGUGAAGGUAGCCUCUCAUAUUCAUAUAAAAGCCUGGUUGCCACUGGAGGAAUUCCCAACCCUUGGAAGAUGCCACUGGUCCCCGUGGGCUCUCACAGGAAAGAGGAACCUGGUCUAAGGCCACCAGACCUGACCAAGCCAUGCUGGAGCGGAGAGGGGCCGGCAGAGGGCGCUGUGCAGACAUGGUGGGCUCAUGUCUUACCAUAGAACUCUGCCUGGCGAAGGCCGAGCAAGUGCUGAGGGCCAGGGAUGGAGAGGUCAUUUUGAGCUAAAUUUGUUUGUAACACAGCAUACUUUUCAGAAAGCUUUGGAGAGUGAAUUUUGCCUCUUGCAAAAUCACUAAUUGUUGUGGGUUUCUUUCUCUUACAUAAGACUUCCUUUUGCCGCAAUGGAUGUCGAGGAGACACUGUAGAAAAGCGGGUAGAAUAAAGUGGGCAUGCCCCAUCCCAGAUCUGCCUCUUGUUAGAGGUGUGGGUUUUCUCUGAAACUCGUUUGUGUUUUUGGAUGCUGGAGAUCGAAGGCUUUAUCUUACAGGUUUGUUCUGAAGACUAAAGAAAAGACACAGAAGAGAGGCGUACCCCAAAUUCUGAGUUCACGUAGCCCAUGUGGAGAGUGGAAUCUGCCAUCAAGAGGAGCCCAGAACCCUUGGGCUGAGGAGGGUCAUGUUGCCUUCGGGGGCUCUGCCUCUAAUUUAUUGGUGCAUUCUCCUAUAGACUGAACUGUGUCAGCCCCCAAAUUCAUAUGUUCAAGCCCUAACCCCAAUGUGACUGUAUUUGGAGAUAGGACCUUAAGGAGGUAAUUAAGAUCAUAAGGGUGGGGCCCUAACGUGAUAUGACUGGUGUCCUUAUAAGAAGAGGAAGAGAUACAAGAGGCUCUCUCCCUCUCUGUGCAAACAGAGAAAAGGCCAUGUGAGGACAUAGUGAGAAG